This is an RNA transcript of Platichthys flesus (European flounder), 4123 nucleotides long. It is a transcript of the gene named syntaxin 3b, with no coding region annotated. The transcript has 12 exons. NCBI's taxonomy places the organism in Eukaryota, Metazoa, Chordata, Actinopteri, Pleuronectiformes, Pleuronectidae. The record is from RefSeq and is a predicted model, not a curated record.
UAGUAUGAUUACCGUCCAGCGCGGAGAGACACAGAUUAAACUGCUGCACACAACUGUUGUUUUAAUCCGCGGCCCGAGGAGAUUUAGCGACGAGAAAACACCGGGUUUAAACCCAGCAGCCAUAUUGUAUGGAAAAAAACGACGGGAAGGUUGUUGUCGCCGGGAAAAAAGAGUGUUGUCCUCCUCAGACUCGGGAGUUUAGCGGAGUUUCAUGUUGUUUCUCAGUGGCGGAGGGUUUGUGACGGACAGCGAGCCCAGCAGCUGGUGGAGGAGUCCACGCACCGGGACUAGGUUUUCAACCCCGUUUUCAUCCGCUCGGUUAGAAACGUGUUGAAUCGACCAUCGCAAAGAUGAAGGACCGACUGGAGCAACUUAAAGCGACUUGUGAUCAAGAUGACGAAGACGUGGAGAUUGCUGUGGACAACGCAGCCUUCAUGGAUGAGUUCUUCACUCAGAUCGAGGACAUUAGGAACAGUAUUGAUAAAAUAGAUGACAACGUGGCUGAAGUCAAAAAGCUCUUCUCUGUCAUCCUUUCUGCUCCCACUUCAGAGCAGAAAACACAGGAUGAACUGGAGGCAAUCACUAAUGACAUUAAGAAGAUGGCCAACAAUGCAAGAAACAAACUCAAAACCAUCGAGAGGAAUCUGGAAUCGGAGGAGCAGGAGAGGGUCUCAGCUGACAUGCGGAUACGUAAAUCACAGCAUGCAGUGCUGUCAAGGAAGUUUGUGGAAGUAAUGACAAAGUAUAAUGAAGCCCAGGUGGACUUCAGGGAGAGGAGUAAAGGACGUAUUAAGAGGCAGCUAGAGAUCACUGGAAAAGCAACCACAGAUGAAGAGCUGGAUGAGAUGCUGGAGAGUGGGAAUUCUGCUGUCUUCACUGCAGGGAUUGUGGAUUCUGGGAUCUCUAAACAAGCCCUGAGUGAGAUCGAAUCCAGACACAAGGACAUUGUGCGUCUGGAAAGCAGCAUCAAGGAACUGCACGAUAUGUUUGUAGACAUUGCCAUGUUGGUGGAGAGCCAGGGUGGAAUGAUUGAAAGGAUUGAGAGCAACAUGGACCAAUCAGUGGGCUUUGUGGAAAGGGCUGUAGCCGACACUAAGAAAGCAGCAAAGUUUCAGCAAGAGGCUCGCCGUAAAAUGAUCAUAAUAGCAGUGGUUGUGGCGAUCUUGCUGGCCGUACUAGCUCUCAUUAUCGGGUUGUCAGUGGGACUGAAGUAAAGCUGAUGAAACCUGAGUAAGAGGAGAGCUAAGGAGGAUGAUGGUUAUUGGUGCCGUCUGUGCUGUGGUUGUUCUCAUCCUCCUCAUCGUCCUCACACUAAAGCAGGACCUCUGUGUUGCUGCUAAUCAUCAGUUCAUUCAUCGUCACUCCAUCCUUCCCUCCAUCAGCUGACCCACCAAAGAAAAGUUUGAUACUGGUCACCUCCGAUGGAUACAAUCAUAUUUCAUCCAAAGAGCAUCAGUUUAAAACUGCACCAAGAGUGGAGGAAGGCUUGAUGUGACAUUGGAGAGCUGGCACAAAAGAGGACCUUAAAGAAAUGCAUAACAAAAUAUUUCAGACUUUUGAAUUACUUUCAUCAUUCCCUUCCGUACCAUCCUCCCUGAAUUGUGAGGGUUUGUUUGACUCCUUCAUGCAGCUUGGACAGUUUUGAGGAAGCUCUACUGUAAAUGAGGAAACAUGACUAAUGCUGCGGUGAGGUACAAUUCCCUCUGUCCUAUCUACACGUGGGCGUAAAGGGAAUUGAAAAAUAACUGAUCGUUCUUCCACAAGUGUCACUUAACAUUUCAUUGUGCAGCAUUCAGUGCCAAAUAAGCAGCCUGGAAGUUUUAGUCAAUCUGAAAUUGAUUAAGUCCCAGUGAGACCAACAACACUGUCUUCAUGUCUUUCCUUUAUGAGCCUCGACACAUUUGUGAUCGAAAAGCUUGCUACUGUAAUGGGUAUUUUAUUAGUCCGGAGGAUUUUCAGCACUUUCACAUUUCAAAAUAUGACUUCAUUUUUCUGAUUAGGCACAGAUAAAAAUGUAAAUAAUAUAUUUGUUAUGUUUUAUGAAUAUCUGGCCUGAAUAUGAAGCAGAUUCUUCAGUUUUAUAGAGCAUAUUGGUUUUAAUGUUAAAUUUGUGAAGGAUUAUGCUUCUAGAAACACAUUUCAUGGCUGGGCAGAGCUAAGAAGAGCAAAGAAGGAAAACACUGUAGCACUAUAACAUUUGAAGGCAUGAGUUUUUACAGACGAGACAGUCUGUAAAAACAUGUUGUUUUAAUGCCACAUGAUGUAAAGAGACACUGCUAAUAACACAAUUGGCGUAUUUGCCAGAGGAGCCAAAAUAGUUUUUGUAUGGACAUUUUAACUUGCAGUAUUGUGUCAGUGGCAGGCGGAUGUGAAACCACUGUGAGUUGCAUUUCUGCAAUGUUUUAGGUCUCAUAAUAUUUCUACUAUAAACGUACAACUCAGUUUAUGAGGUACAGCAAUAAUCCAAUCUAAUACGACAGCCCUGGUUGUAAUAGUUUCAUCAUUUCAUUAGCUCAUUUUUGGUGGAGAGAACAUGUCAAACUUUCAAUUUACUGAACCACAGUGUACAUAUGGGCAUGCUGUAGCUUUAAUAGGGUAGUUAAAGAAGCUUAUUAACUACUGUAUUAUACACUGGUUAUAUCAGGCAUCAGAGAGAAGACGCAAGGUUAUCCGUUUUAAUCACAUCAAAGGUUUUUCAGUGCAACAACAAUGAAGUAACCACAAGAGACACAGUCAGUGAAAUCCUUCAAACGAAGCCUGGGUGACGCUUUUCAUUCAGCUUGUGAGGGAAACACUUGACCAUGAGAGGCCACCAGCUUGAUCUGUACAUCAGUCUGCUCUGUCUGGCUUCUGUCCACAACCUUUCAAUCGUAAUGCUUCUAUUAACGGGUUUUUCUUCAGCACAGGCUGCAGGAAGAGCUCAGCUGAAACUGUUGGAGUCUGUUUUUAACUUAAAUGCCAAUGAUUUUAAUGGUGAUUAAAGAUUUUAUGUUUUUUAACUACUGUUUGAAGAGUGCUUCAUUUGCAGAGUCAUGCUCAUCUGCCCAGCUUGACUCUGUUAAGGACACAAGGUAAAUAUGUAAUUAAAUCUUUACUCUUUUUGGAUGACUGGAGGAUCUCUGUGAAUGUUUUUUGUGGGUGCAGCAUGUCUAUACAGGAUAUUUUUUAACCACUGUGUUGCAAAGUACAACCUUUCAAAGACAAGUCUUAAAGAGGAGGUAGGUUUUUCACACACACACACAUGCACACACACACAGACACCCCUUUUACCACUCUUACCCACUUCUCCUUUUUGCUCGAAUCAUUUCCUCAAACCGUUGUGUCCAUACAUGUAAAUUAUUGUCCUGUUUUGUGUUAACAAUCAUGACUCGCAGUUUAAUUUGUGUUUUUAUCUUUUUAAAAUCUACAGAAAAAGAUGAUGAUUACUUUGUGCUGUGCCAUCAUUGGGAUUGUUGGGUUCUCCUAUCUCUACAGCUUCUUCUCAUGAGCGCUCAUUCACAGGAAAGAUGCUCGCUCCAAGAACAAUAACAUUUCCGGAUAUGCCCCCAGUUCCACCCUCAACAUUAUUUGAAUCUGUUAUAAAAAAGGUAUAUUGACAUUUUUGAACCGUUUCUGUCCUGAACACUUACCUCUGUAUUUAAUAUUUGAUUUAAAACGAUUUUCUUGCUGUAUGAAGUGUUUGAAAACGUGUUAUAAGUGUGUAGAUCUUUCUCAACCUGCCACCUGACGAGUAAUUGUUUGGGGUUGUAGUCUAACGCCCCCUGGUGGUAAAUUAAGGUAAAUUUUAUUUAGCGAAAAUUUGAAUACGUAAAAUUAUUAUUAUGCAUUAAAAGAAUGAACGUGAUCCUUUCCCUUGCCUUGUAAGCCACCAACGUCAAAUCUUACACGUAUAUAAAUUAUGAAGCUCUGGUCAUACAUAUAUCACAUUAAGUAGUAUUUUUUUUUAUUGUUUGAUGUCAUUAUUAUUUUAAUGAAUUGUGUGAUUUUGUUGUUGUGUGUGAUAUGUAUGAGUCUGUUUUGCUGCAAUGCUUGUUAUAAUGGUCUUCUGUGUAACUCGCUCACUGGCUGUGUGUCAACCCAGUAAAGCCUGUUAUGUAAUAAAGCUGUAUGUGUGUUAAACCAA